GGGAAAGUAGCUCAGUCGGUCAGAGCAGCCGCCUCAUAAGCGGCCGGUCCCGGGUUCGAAUCCCGGCUUUCCCA
Molecule: transfer RNA, 74 nt
Filed under: Eubacteriales bacterium
Lineage: Bacteria; Bacillati; Bacillota; Clostridia; Eubacteriales
Description: tRNA-Ile
Rfam family: tRNA
About the family: Transfer RNA (tRNA) molecules are approximately 80 nucleotides in length. Their secondary structure includes four short double-helical elements and three loops (D, anti-codon, and T loops). Further hydrogen bonds mediate the characteristic L-shaped molecular structure. tRNAs have two regions of fundamental functional importance: the anti-codon, which is responsible for specific mRNA codon recognition, and the 3' end, to which the tRNAs corresponding amino acid is attached (by aminoacyl-tRNA synthetases). tRNAs cope with the degeneracy of the genetic code in two manners: having more than one tRNA (with a specific anti-codon) for a particular amino acid; and 'wobble' base-pairing, i.e. permitting non-standard base-pairing at the 3rd anti-codon position.
Source: RNAcentral